CGUAGGUGGCAGGCGUUGUCCGGAUUUAUUGGGUUUAAAGGGUGCGUAGGCGGUCUUUUAAGUCAGUGGUGAAAUACUUCAGCUCAACUGGAGAGGUGCCAUUGAUACUGGGAGACUUGAGUACUGAUGAGGUAGGCGGAAUGGACGGUGUAGCGGUGAAAUGCUUAGAUAUCGUCCAGAACACCGAUAGCGAAGGCAGCUUACUAAGGAGUAACUGACGCUGAGGCACGAAAGUGUGGGGAUCAAACAGGAUUAGAUACCCUGGUAGUCCACACUGUAAACGAUGAUCACUCGAUGUUGGCGAUACACGGCCAGCGUCUUAGCAAAAGCGAUAAGUGAUCCACCUGGGGAGUACGCCGGCAACGGUG
This 368-nucleotide ribosomal RNA is filed under the name uncultured organism. RNAcentral's name for it is "bacterial SSU rRNA". It matches the Rfam family "Bacterial small subunit ribosomal RNA", at positions 526 to 896 of the family's 1533-position model. The record is from RNAcentral.